GUUAGGAAUAUUGGACAAUGGGCGCAAGCCUGAUCCAGCCAUGCCGCGUGAGUGAUGAAGGCCUUCGGGUUGUAAAGCUCUUUAGCCGAUGAUUAUAAUGACUGUAGUCGGAAAAUAAGCCCCGGCUAACUUCGUGCCAGCAGCCGCGGUAAUACGAAGGGGGCGAGCGUUAUUCGGAAUCACUGGGCGUAAAGCGUGCGUAGGCGGCUUUGCAAGUUGGGAGUGAAAGCCCAGGGCUCAACCCUGGAAUUGCUCUCAAAACUGCAAGGCUCGAAUUCGGGAGAGGAUAGCGGAAUUGGCAGUGUAGCAGUGAAAUGCGUAGAUAUUGACAGGAACACCAGUGGCGUAAGCGGCUAUCUGGACCGAUAUUGACGCUGAGGCACGAAAGCGUGGGGAUCAAACAGGAUUAGAUACCCUAGUAGUCC
This 425-nucleotide ribosomal RNA is filed under the name uncultured bacterium. Its description in RNAcentral is "partial 16S ribosomal RNA". It matches the Rfam family "Bacterial small subunit ribosomal RNA", at positions 354 to 796 of the family's 1533-position model. The record is from RNAcentral.